UUAGAUAACCCCUGGUUAGUCCCACGCCCGUAAACCGAUUGAGUCCUAAGUGUUAGGGGGGUUUCCCGCCCCCUUAGUGCCUCCAGCUAACCGCAUUAAGCACUUCCGCUUGGGGAGUACGCCCCGCAAGGCUGAAAACUCCAAAGGAAUUUGACCGGGGGCCCGCACAAGCGUGGAACAUGUGGUUUAAUUCGAAAGCAACGCGAAGAACCUUACCAGGUCUUGACAUCCCGCUGACCGCCUAGGAGACUAGGCUUUCCCUUCGGGGACAGCGGUGACAGGUGGUGCAUGGUUGUCGUCAGCUCGUGUCGUGAGAUGUUGGGUUAAGUCCCGCAACGAGCGCAACCCUUGAUCUUAGUUGCCAGCAUUCAGUUGGGCACUCUAAGGUGACUGCCGGUGACAAACCGGAGGAAGGUGGGGAUGACGUCAAAUCAUCAUGCCCCUUAUGACCUGGGCUACACACGUGCUACAAUGGACGGUACAAAGGGCUGCAAACCCGCGAGGGGGAGCCAAUCCCAUCAAACCGUUCUCAGUUCGGAUUGCAGGCUGCAACUCGCCUGCAUGAAGCCGGAAUCGCUAGUAAUCGCGGAUCAGCAUGCCGCGGUGAAUACGUUCCCGGGCCUUGUACACACCGCCCGUCACACCACGAGAGUUUGUAACACCCGAAGUCGGUGGGGUAA
Molecule: ribosomal RNA, 680 nt
Filed under: glacial ice bacterium MS-T1-04
Lineage: Bacteria
Description: bacterial SSU rRNA
Rfam family: Bacterial small subunit ribosomal RNA
Source: RNAcentral